CUCAACUAGAUGACUUUAAGUUCCCACUAAUUUCUAAAGCUGACAUCUCAUGAUUCAACCUGGUCUGGAUACACUCUUUCUUUUGAUGCUUCCUGAAGUUCCUUGACUACUUCUAGCCCCUGAUGACUCUCAGUUGACCUGUCUUCCUUGAAUCAAGGGCCAAGUGAUUACUUAGUUUGUUUUUCCCAGAAAAAAUCUGUGAAUGAUUCUCCAUAGUAUCAACGUCUUGACCCAUUGGUGACAUGGAACCAACAAUACCUCCUCCCCUCUGGUUCUCUGGCUCUUGACUAGGAAAUCUAUGGACUUGAAAUAGCAGUGGGAGGUCAUUGGGGUGGCAUGGAGAAGGAGGAAAUUAAUUGGGUUUGAAGGAUGGAUGACAGAACAACUACCAUAUUAAUGGAGACAUUCAAGAGCGAGAGGAAGUUGUUCAAUUCUUUGGUAAUUGAACUUUAAAGAGAGUCUUGUCUGCCCCCAAGUAGAUGAAUGCAAUGAUCUUUAGUCUACAGGACUGAAGCUGGUGAUCUGUCACUGAGCCUUUCAGUUUCAAAGUGUCAUUAACUUCAGGACCAGGAAAAUUUGACUCAGUUCAGAGCUUCUUCCUAGGUCUGUAAAAGAAAACGAGAUAGUACUAAAGGAACGAGAGACAUGAAUGGCCACAGUGAAGCAAUGUGAUAUAAGGGAAAGAGUCUCUGACUCAGCACGCAGAGGAUCUAAUUUCAAACCCAUUUCCGUGUAUGAUCUUGGGAAUGUUACUUAAUUUCUCCAGGCUUGUUUCCUCAUCUAUAAAAUAAGGAGGCUGUCCUGGAUGGUUUCUGAGGUUCCUCCCAGCUCUAUUGAUAUGAUUCUCUGAAUCCUUGUAGGGCCAUGUAUUACAUUCAUGACUAGGCAAUUAGAUUCAGCAAAUAUUUAUUAAAUUCCUACUAUGUGCUAGAUAUGGAAGACAGGAAGACAAAAAUGAGACUUCUCUCAAAGAUUUUCUUCAAACAUAAAACGAGGAAAUUGAACAAAAGGAUUUUCUACGUAAUCCAUUGUGCCAUUGUGACGUAUAGCUAAUCCUCUCCUUUAGAGAUGAGGAGCCUGAAUUCCAGAGAAGGAAGAUGGUCACACAGAAAAUAAAUGGAUGUUCUGAGAUUUGAACUCA
Molecule: long non-coding RNA, 1141 nt
Filed under: Monodelphis domestica (gray short-tailed opossum)
Lineage: Eukaryota; Metazoa; Chordata; Mammalia; Didelphimorphia; Didelphidae
Description: lncRNA (ENSMODG00000047629.1)
Source: RNAcentral